AAAAACAUGUCCUUUAGAGUUUAAUUUAAGGUCUGACCUGCCCACUGAUUUAAAUGGCCGCAGUAUUUUAACUGUGCAAAGGUAGCAUAAUCAUUAGUCUUUUAAUUGAAGGCUUGUAUGAAUGGUUGGACGAAAUAUUAACUGUUUCAUAAAAAUUUAUAGAAUUUUAUUUUUUAGUUAAAAAGCUAAAAUUUUUUUAAAAGACGAGAAGACCCUAUAGAUCUUUAUAAUUUUUGUAUUAUAGUUAUUUAGAUAAUUUAAAUUAUAAUUUUAUGAAUUAUUUUGUUGGGGUGACAUUAAAAUUUAAUUAACUUUUAAUUUGUUUAUACAUUGAUUUAUGAUUAAUUGAUCCAUUAUUAGUGAUUAUAAAAUUAAGUUACCUUAGGGAUAACAGCGUAAUUUUUUUAGAGAGUUCAUAUCGAUAAAAAAGAUUGCGACCUCGAUGUUGGAUUAAGAUAUAAUUUUGGGUGCAGCAAUUCAUUGAUUAAGUCUGUUCGACUUUUAAUUUCUUACAUGA
Molecule: ribosomal RNA, 517 nt
Filed under: Nanexila vittata
Lineage: Eukaryota; Metazoa; Arthropoda; Insecta; Diptera; Therevidae
Description: partial 16S ribosomal RNA
Rfam family: Bacterial large subunit ribosomal RNA
Source: RNAcentral